AGCGGAGGAAAAGAAACCAACAGGGAUUGCCUCAGUAACGGCGAGUGAAGCGGCAAGAGCUCAACUUUGGAAUCGCUCCGGCGAGUUGUAGUCUGGAGGUGGCCACCACGAGGUGUUCUAGCAGCAGGCAAGUCCUUUGGAACAAGGCGCCAGCGAGGGUGACAGCCCCGUACCUGCUUUUGCUAGUGCUUCCUGUGGCCCACCGACGAGUCGAGUUGUUUGGGAAUGCAGCUCUAAGUGGGUGGUAAAUUCCAUCUAAGGCUAAAUAUUGGCGAGAGACCGAUAGCGAACAAGUACAGUGAUGGAAAGAUGAAAAGCACUUUGAAAAGAGAGUGAAACAGUACGUGAAAUUGUUGAAAGGGAAGGGCUUGCACCCAGACACGGUUUCGGCCGGGCCAGCAUCAAGUAGAACGGGGUUAAAAGACCUGGGGAAUGUAGCUACCUCUUGGUAGUGUUAUAGCCCUUGGGUGAUGACCCCUGUUUUGCUUGAGGACAGCGGUCUCUAGGAUGCUGGCGCAAUGGUUGCAAGCCACCCGUCUUGA
This 542-nucleotide ribosomal RNA is filed under the name Candidozyma auris. RNAcentral's name for it is "[Candida] auris partial 26S ribosomal RNA". It matches the Rfam family "Eukaryotic large subunit ribosomal RNA", at positions 49 to 657 of the family's 3401-position model. The record is from RNAcentral. Lineage: Eukaryota; Fungi; Ascomycota; Pichiomycetes; Serinales; Metschnikowiaceae.